Molecule: long non-coding RNA, 822 nt
Filed under: Phasianus colchicus (ring-necked pheasant)
Lineage: Eukaryota; Metazoa; Chordata; Aves; Galliformes; Phasianidae
Description: lncRNA (ENSPCLG00000017856.1)
Source: RNAcentral
UCCUCAUUUUUGGGGGGAAUUUCCCCAUUUUUGGGGUGAAUUUCCCCAUUUUUGGGGGUGAAUUUCCUCAUUCUGGGGUGAAUUUCCCCAUUUUUGGGGGGAAUUUCCUCAUUUUUGGGGUGAAUUUCCCCAUUUCUGGGGUGAAUUUCCGCAUUUCUGGGGUGAAUUUCCCCAUUUUGGGGGUGAAUUUCCUCAUUUUUGGGGGGAAUUUCUCCAUUUUGGGGGGAAUUUCCUCAUUUCUGGGGUGAACUUCCUCAUUUUUGGGGUGAUUUUCCCCAUUUCUGGGGUGGAUUUCCCAAUUUUUGGGGGGAAUUUCCUCAUUUUUGGGGUGAAAUUCCUCAUUUUUGGGGUGAACAUCCUCAUUUUUGGGGUGAAUUUCCCCAUUUUUGGGGGUGAAUUUCCCCAUUUCUGGGGGUGAAUUUCCUCAUUUUUGGGGUGAAUUUCCCCAUUUCUGGGGUGAAUUUCCCCAUUUCUGGGGUAAAUUUCCUCAUUUUUGGGGUGAUUUUCCCCAUUUCUGGGGUGAAUUUCCCAAUUUUUGGGGGGAAUUUCCUCAUUUUUGGGAUGAAUUUCCUCAUUUUUGGGGUGAAUUUCUCCAUUUUGGGGUGAAUUUUCCAUUUUUGGGGGUGAAUUUCCCCAUUUCUGGGGUGAACUUCCUCAUUUUUGGGGUGAAUUUCCUCAUUUUUGGGGGUGAAUUUCCCCAUUUUUGGGGUGAAUUUCCCCAUUUUUGGGGUUUCUCAGAGUCGUGACCCCUCGUUUUUAGGGCUUCUCACACCCGGGGUUCCACUUUUGGGGCAAAUUUGUCCAUUUUUUGGGGGGGUCCUC